Molecule: ribosomal RNA, 559 nt
Filed under: Haplographium delicatum
Lineage: Eukaryota; Fungi; Ascomycota; Leotiomycetes; Helotiales; Hyaloscyphaceae
Description: eukaryotic LSU rRNA
Rfam family: Eukaryotic large subunit ribosomal RNA
Source: RNAcentral
CUCAGUAACGGCGAGUGAAGCGGCAACAGCUCAAAUUUGAAAUCUGGCUCUCGGGUCCGAAUUGUAAUUUGUAGAAGAUGCUUCGAGUGUUAGCCUGGUCUAAGUUCCUUGGAACAGGACGUCAUAGAGGGUGAGAAUCCCGUAUGUGACUAGUGCUCUCGCUCAUGUGAAGCUCUUUCGACGAGUCGAGUUGUUUGGGAAUGCAGCUCAAAAUGGGUGGUAAAUUUCAUCUAAAGCUAAAUAUUGGCCAGAGACCGAUAGCGCACAAGUAGAGUGAUCGAAAGAUGAAAAGCACUUUGGAAAGAGAGUUAAACAGUACGUGAAAUUGUUGAAAGGGAAGCGCUUGCAACUAGACUUGCAUGCCGUCGAUCAUCCGAGGUUUUCCCCGGUGCACUCGGCGGUGUUCAGGCCAGCAUCGGUUUGGGUGGUUGGAUAAAGGCCUUGGGAAUGUAGCUUCUUUCGGGGAGUGUUAUAGCCCUCGGUGCAAUGCAGCCUACCCGGACCGAGGACCGCGCUUCGGCUAGGAUGCUGGCGUAAUGGUUGUAAGCGACCCGUCUUG